RNAcentral lists this ribosomal RNA (498 nucleotides) under uncultured bacterium. RNAcentral describes it as "partial 16S ribosomal RNA". It matches the Rfam family "Bacterial small subunit ribosomal RNA", at positions 30 to 523 of the family's 1533-position model. The record is from RNAcentral.
AUUGAACGCUGGCGGCAUGCCUUACACAUGCAAGUCGAACGGCAGCACGGGGCAACCUGGUGGCGAGUGGCGAACGGGUGAGUAAUGCAUCGGAACGUACCUUUCAGUGGGGGAUAACGUAGCGAAAGUUACGCUAAUACCGCAUAUUCUGUGAGCAGGAAAGCAGGGGAUCGAAAGACCUUGCGCUGAUUGAGCGGCCGAUGUCAGAUUAGCUAGUUGGUGAGGUAAAGGCUCACCAAGGCGACGAUCUGUAGCGGGUCGGAGAGGAUGAUCCGCCACACUGGAACUGAGACACGGUCCAGACUCCUACGGGAGGCAGCAGUGGGGAAUUUUGGACAAUGGGGGCAACCCUGAUCCAGCCAUGCCGCGUGAGUGAAGAAGGCCUUCGGGUUGUAAAGCUCUUUCGGCCGGGAAGAAAUCGCACGGGCUAAUACCCUGUGUGGAUGACGGUACCGGAAUAAGAAGCACCGGCUAACUACGUGCCAGCCGCCGCAGUAA